Molecule: long non-coding RNA, 588 nt
Organism: Eptesicus fuscus (big brown bat)
Lineage: Eukaryota; Metazoa; Chordata; Mammalia; Chiroptera; Vespertilionidae
Exons: 2
Source: RefSeq, a predicted model, not a curated record
AGUGCCCAAAGAGCUGCCGGCAGACCAGACCAACAUUAACAGCAAGAGCAGGUGGGCAGGCCUCAGCCCUCCUCCCUGCCCCCAAAGCCAGCGACAGCCUCAGCCUAAGCUCCUGACCUGCAAUCACAAUGGUCCGACACAACGCCAGGAGUCUGAGCGAACGCCCACAGCAGGAAAGCCAGGAGCAAGAGCAGGAUCCGAAUGCAGAGGACGGCCAGGUGGAUGGGAGGACGCUCAGAGGCCGCUAUCACUACAGACACAGGCGCUGCUCCCGAAGGCGGCUCUACAGGAUCCACAGAAGGCGGCGCCGCUCAUGCCGGAGACGCCGGAGACGUGCCUGCAGGCACAGGAGGCACCGCAGAGGUUGCAGAAGGAUGAGGAGGAGGAGAAGAUACAGAAGGUGCCGUUAAACCUUCCUGGGCCCAUCACACACCUGGUUGGAAAUCAAGGAAAAGUCACCUGACAAGGAACCACCUCACAUGACCAUAGCAAUUCCUCCAUGCUGGAUGCCCAAACCCUGAGCCCAUAAGUUCUUGAGUAAAAUGAGCAAAAGUCAUCUGCCAAAUAAAGCUUGAGAUAAGAAACUUG